This is an RNA transcript of Eucalyptus grandis, 2114 nucleotides long. RefSeq lists it as uncharacterized. The transcript has 5 exons. NCBI's taxonomy places the organism in Eukaryota, Viridiplantae, Streptophyta, Magnoliopsida, Myrtales, Myrtaceae. The record is from RefSeq and is a predicted model, not a curated record.
CCUCUUUACUCUCUCUUCCUCCUCCGACGCUCCUUCCGGUCUAGCGAUUCCUCCGACGACCGUCGCUCCUCCCGACGACGGCCUUUCUCUCUCCACUCGACGGCCUCAUCUCAGCAGGGCUCCAUUCUCUCGGCGCACUUCCUCCUAAAUCGCGCUCUCUCCCGACGGCCGAUUUCGCUCACCUCUCUCCGUCCCCCGACUCGCGACCGAGAAGCAAUCGCUCCGCCCUGCUCGAAGCAGUCGCUCGAGAAGCCCUAAAUCUGCGACCGCAAGUCAGCAACGCGAGAAGUGAAACUGUGACUGUCUGUCUCUCUACCCUUGUCCGGUUUUUCCGUUCUUGGCAAAUCCGAAGAUGAGCCCACUUCUGGAUACAUGAUCUUAGGCCGACCCGUCAAGUCGAAGCCCGACGUAAUCUCGCUGCUUCGCUCCACCGAGCUGUUGAAUCGCUUGUGUCCGGGGGGUUUCAAGAUUUUCCGGGGAGGCAAUCGCCUGUUCCGUCAUUGCAGACUUCCAGGCGAGAAGAAAUGUGCCCACAAUAAUCACCCCAACACCGAACCGCCUCCUUUCUCCUCUCUCGAAAGCAAUCUUUGUUAUGGAUUGAUGAAGGCAUGAGUUGAAGAAAUCCUUGUUGUCCCAACUGCUCAACAGUGCUUCCAUGGAUGGCAAAAGUUCAUCUGAGUUGAGCCUUCCCUGGUUCUGGAUUAUUGAGUAUUUGGCAAAAUUCAAGCAAGUUAAGCCAUCCCUCUUGCAUGGUAUCAUUAAAGCGGCUCCAGAGUUACCUGCUCACUUGGGAAAAAAUAUGGAGGAAGUUGUUUCUUUGAGAUGCUUGGAGGAGUUACGUGGCCCUAGAAAUGGAAGCAUGAACAGUACUUGGUCCUCAUUGGGAUCAAAGGCGAAAAUUGAUACAUCAAAGAGCUGCAAAAAUGUCCGACAGUAAAUGUUCCAUAAUGUGAGUUCUAAUAAAUGAUGCAGUGAAAAUGUGUUUUAUUUUCUUCAUGACAUCUUUCCACUGGUUCUGUUCUAAUGAUUGCUGAAGUUUGGUGUCUAUUCCCCUGUUUAUGAAUUUGUUAUAUGUUAGGGCUCUGCAUCUGAUCUUGAAGUAACUGCAAAUGAGUUUUUGAAAUGGGACCUUCACUCAUUUUUAACGCACAAGAGAACCUCUGCCAAAAACUGCUCUAGAGGAGGUACCCAUCCACAUGCUGAUUUUAAAAAAAAAGAGGGUAGAUUGGCAGAUGUUUGUCAUUUGAAUAGGACCGUCAUUCAUAAUGGUGGACAUACUGGACUUACAUGUGCGCCUGAUGUGGGAGACACAUAUGCUCCUAACACAGUUGAUGAACCAAACUUGGUUUCUCGAUCCACCAAUCAUGUGGAGCCCUUGGUAGGAGAUGAUGGUAUUAGGAAGUGUCUUCCCACGAAGAGGAACCAUAUUGAUGUUCACGCUGAAAAUGUUGAAAGGAAUUGUAAUGAGGAUCAACAUCAUGAUGCUCAUUCAGAUGCUAAAAGGGCCAAACAGCAAGAUUCUGAUGAAAUAAAGGACAAAGAAGAAUCACCAGUUGUUCUAACUGGAAGAUUAGGUUUCUAGAGAAAUGAUGGAUGUUCUGAUAGAGAGGUGGCUAACCUUGUCAAGGAUCAUAUGGGGCUGUGGAUGACGACCAGUCGUUAGAGGGAGAUGGGAGGCAUUAUGUUCAGCCAAGGACUUGUGACGUACUUUCCGAUGGAAUGGAGUGGGGGUUUUCCGUUGAUGAUCCCAAACGCGUCCAUGACUCCAUAGAGAAAACAAAGAACAGUGAAUCAGCUCGAGCAUCGGAAUGGGGGCAGACUUUUACCAGUCAUGCAGAAGAUUACGUGGUCCACGUUGUCGGGGAGGAUAUGUCCAGUGAUGGUGAUGAAUAUAGAAAAGAGCAGACAGGAUCCUAUAACAUUAAUGUUUUCAAAAACACAUUUUGGUGAUUUAUAUGAUCUGAUUUACAUGAUCUGAUGUCCGGGAUUUGAGGAUUCAUGAUGUUUUCUUUACAAAAAAGCAAUAACUUGUUAGUACUGUCUCGUCAAUAAUCAUUCAUGUUGUCUCAUCAAUAACUUUUUAUACAUUAGUUGCUGAAUAAUUUUGAUGUUCA